UGGGAAUAGAUAAGCGCUGAAAGCAUCUAAGUGCGAAACUAGCCACGAGAUGAGAAUUCCAUAUAGGGCCGUAGAAGACUACUACGUUGAUAGGCUAUAGGUGUAAAGCUGGUAACAGCAAAGCCGAGUAGUACUAAUAACCCGAAGCUUUCAAA
Molecule: ribosomal RNA, 155 nt
Filed under: Pedobacter sp.
Lineage: Bacteria; Pseudomonadati; Bacteroidota; Sphingobacteriia; Sphingobacteriales; Sphingobacteriaceae
Description: partial 23S ribosomal RNA
Rfam family: Bacterial large subunit ribosomal RNA
Source: RNAcentral